GCCUGUUUAUCAAAAACAUAGCUUGAGGUAUUUGUUAUCUUAAGUUUUACCUGCCCAAUGAUUUUUUUUUAAUGGCCGCAGUACUUUGACUGUGCUAAGGUAGCAUAAUAAUUUGACUUUUAAUUGAAGCCUGGUAUGAAAGGAGUUAUAGGAAGAUAUUGUCUNUUAUAUAUUUUUAUAAAAUUUACUGAUAAGGUGAAAAUUCCUUAAUUAUUUUUUAAUAGACGAGAAGACCCUUAGAAUUUUUAUAAUAUAUUCUUAAAGAUUUUUUUUUCGUUGGGGCAACGGCGUUGGGUAACCAAUGUAUUUAUUACAAACCGAGUAGUAGUAAAUUUGAAUAUAAUUACCUAAGGGAUAACAGCAUAAUUUUUAAAAGAUUGUGACCUCGAUGUUGGACUAAGGACUUCUAUAGCUAGACGCUAUAUAAGAUUGUUCUGUU
Molecule: ribosomal RNA, 439 nt
Filed under: Cochlicopa lubrica
Lineage: Eukaryota; Metazoa; Mollusca; Gastropoda; Stylommatophora; Cochlicopidae
Description: partial 16S ribosomal RNA
Rfam family: Bacterial large subunit ribosomal RNA
Source: RNAcentral